UGAACGCCUCUAAGGCUGAAGCCAGCUUA
This 29-nucleotide small RNA is filed under the name Bombyx mori (domestic silkworm). Its description in RNAcentral is "ovarian small RNA-30766". The record is from RNAcentral. Lineage: Eukaryota; Metazoa; Arthropoda; Insecta; Lepidoptera; Bombycidae.